RNAcentral lists this unclassified non-coding RNA (384 nucleotides) under uncultured Phycisphaeraceae bacterium. RNAcentral describes it as "contains 16S-23S intergenic spacer region". Lineage: Bacteria; Pseudomonadati; Planctomycetota; Phycisphaerae; Phycisphaerales; Phycisphaeraceae. The record is from RNAcentral.
UCCGGUUUGACACCGGCAGUCUCGUUAGAGUCCUGUCUUGCGACUUAGCAACUAACGAUAGGGGUUUCGCUCGUUAAGGGACUUAACCCGACACUUCACAGCACGAGCUGACGACAGCCAUGCAGCACCUGUGCACGUUUCACUCAAAGAGCAGCUUACUCGGCUUUCACCGAGGGCAUCCGUGCAUGUCAAGCCCAGGAUAAGGUUCUUCGCGUUGCUUCGAAUUAAGCCACAUGCUCCACCGCUUGUGUGAGCCCCCGUCAAUUCCUUUGAGUUUUAGCCUUGCGACCGUACUCCCCAGGCGGCGCACUUAACACUUUUGCUUCGACCAUGAAAGCGUCAGAGCUCCCACGAUCUAGUGCGCAUCGUUUAGGGCGUGGACUA